This 405-nucleotide ribosomal RNA is filed under the name bacterium enrichment culture clone ALO1_GLFRUDD03GXG58. RNAcentral describes it as "bacterial SSU rRNA". It matches the Rfam family "Bacterial small subunit ribosomal RNA", at positions 9 to 416 of the family's 1533-position model. The record is from RNAcentral.
GAGUUUGAUCGUGGCUCAGAUUGAACGCUGGCGGCAUGCCUUACACAUGCAAGUCGAACGGCAGCACGGGAGCUCGCUCCUGGUGGCGAGUGGCGAACGGGUGAGUAAUGCAUCGGAACGUAUCCUGGAGUGGGGGAUAACGUAGCGAAAGUUACGCUAAUACCGCAUAUUCUGUGAGCAGGAAAGCGGGGGACCUUCGGGCCUCGCGCUCUUGGAGCGGCCGAUGUCGGAUUAGCUAGUUGGUGAGGUAAAGGCUCACCAAGGCGACGAUCCGUAGCAGGUCUGAGAGGAUGAUCUGCCACACUGGAACUGAGACACGGUCCAGACUCCUACGGGAGCAGCAGUGGGAAUUUGGACAAUGGGGGCAACCCUGAUCCAGCCCAUGCCGCGUGAGUGAAGAAGGCC